UACGUAGGGUGCAAGCGUUGUCCGGAAUUAUUGGGCGUAAAGAGCUCGUAGGCGGUCUGUCACGUCGGCUGUGAAAACCCGAGGCUCAACCUCGGGCCUGCAGUCGAUACGGGCAGACUAGAGUUCGGCAGGGGAGACUGGAGUUCCUGGUGUAGCGGUGAAAUGCGCAGAUAUCAGGAGGAACACCGGUGGCGAAGGCGGGGCUCUGGGCCGACACUGACGCUGAGGAGCGAAAGCGUGGGGAGCGAACAGG
RNAcentral lists this ribosomal RNA (253 nucleotides) under uncultured bacterium. RNAcentral's name for it is "partial 16S ribosomal RNA". It matches the Rfam family "Bacterial small subunit ribosomal RNA", at positions 524 to 776 of the family's 1533-position model. The record is from RNAcentral.